RNAcentral lists this long non-coding RNA (2056 nucleotides) under Homo sapiens (human). Its description in RNAcentral is "HSALNT0078566". The record is from RNAcentral. Lineage: Eukaryota; Metazoa; Chordata; Mammalia; Primates; Hominidae.
CUGGAACAGUCAGCAGUUCACAGCCUUCUUUCACCUACCCAGUAAAAACGGUGGGCUGGUAAUAACUACCAUUUAUCAAGUACCUACUCUAUGCCAGCCACAAUUGUAUGUGAUCUCUGAUCCUCACAACAAGCCAGCAAGAAAAACCUGCUCCUGAUUACAAGGAUAUGUCGAUUGCAGGGAGGCAGAGGAAGAAAUACAACAGGAUGUCUAUCGAACACAACUUUGGAGUAAGACCUUGGGACCCAACUCCUGUUUGCUUCAUAUACAAGCUUUGAGACGUGAUGAGUUUGCCUCGAUUCUCUAAGCCUCAGUUUCCUCAUCUGUUGUUGUGAGGGAAAUAAUGCAUGGAAAGCUUUUAACACAAUGGCUGGCACACAGUGAAAGUGCAAGACGUUAACCAUUAUCAUGAGAGUUUUCAAUUGGAAUGAAUAGGAGACUUAAAUUUGCAUGAUUGUACUUUUACACUAAGCCAUUAAUGAUGCAUUCAUUUAGUUUUCUACUCCCAAAGAACAUAGAUUUGAUUAAUUAUAACAAGAAUUUAAAAAUAUUUCCAUUAUUCAGAAAUAACCUACAGAGUCUAAGCCUGUCCUUUCCUUCCUCCCUUUUUCCCAAUCUUUUUUUUUUUUUUUUUUUUUUGAAAGAAAUAGCAAUUAUGUAGUCAGAUUCACUGGCUCUUUCUUCUUCUCCCUGGUAACAGGCUAAGUCUUAACCUUGAUUAGGCAGCAUCGCAUCUGAUCUAAGUUCUUCCCAGCUUUCAGCCCAGCCUGCUUCCCCAGGCUUCAGAGCGCAGCUCUGCACCACCCUCUCCACCCCUGCUUAGCAUCAGAACAUUGCCAAAGCUAAGCAUCUAUGCAAUGUUUCUUUUGAAUAGUUGUCUACCUACUUGGAUAUUUUUUUCCUUCUCCCAGAGGCAAAAAUUGGACCACUUAAUCUAUGCUGUAGGACAGUCUUGCCCCUCAGAAAAUACUUGAGCAUAUUAAGUUGUUAUGAAAUGGAUCUGAGAAGCAGAGUUCUGAACCAUGCCCGUGAAUUUCCCAGCCUCAUCACACUGGCAUUCUUUCAUAGCCCCGAAAUACUUUCCACUUGCCCUUCCUAUGAAUGCAAGUAAAGCAAAGCCUCUUGACAAAGCAAAUUAAGAGUAAUCAAUGGUUUGGGUUUUUUUUUUAAUUAUUAUUUCCUGUGACUCAAAUCAAACCUAUUUCUCAACUGUAACGUACGAAAAGAGAGAGAUCAAGUUGACAUUUAGGAAAAUUGAACAUUGAUAAGUAAAUUGCCUUCACUCAGUCUCUUAGGUCCUCUCUCCUUUCCCCCUACCCCACGACACCCCGUGGCCCUGCUCUCUCUCACACACACAGCUGAAGGUAUCUUUAAAGGGUACCUAUUUCCUGCAGAUCACGCUUAUGUUAAUCUCACUUCAAGUACAGAUGCACCGAGGACAUUACAGGGUCAGUCAUUCUUAUCCACAAAGCUUUAGAUUCCACUACAUUAUUCAAACUGGACAAUGGACUUCCCCAUUUUGUGCCCAGACUUGCUCACUAAUAGAGUGACCUCCUUGUUAUGGGUGAGGAUAUAUUUGAUGCUAAAACUGCUACAAAUUUUUAUCAGCAUUUAAUCUUGAGACUGUGAAUUACUACAUCCUGCAUGUGUUGGUACCUUACUUUGAUUAAAAAUGGGAUAAAUCAAUGAGAGAGUCUUUUUAUCCAAGGCCAUGUUCCUUUCACAUGAAGGUCAUAUACGGGCUAAUUGGACAAAAUAUAAAUCAUGUUUCUUUCCACAUUCAGUUUUAGAUCCUGACCUGUUUUGUGUCAAGAAAUCACAGGGAGCCCAACCUGUAUCAUCAAGAUUGUUUUGAUUUACAGAUGAUUUCCUUAAAUCAUAGCAUGAUGACAUUCAAUGCAAUUCCAAAAUUAAGGAAUGGAGAGUUCAGAAGGACAUUUAAAAAAAAAAUGCUUGUAGUGUUAUAGGAAAAAGUAAUCAGAACUUUGACUCCAUUUGCUUUCCUGUGUCAUAGAAAUGUUGAGGACAGGACAAAAAUAUAACUCCCACCAGUAAC